RNAcentral lists this long non-coding RNA (891 nucleotides) under Capsicum annuum. RNAcentral's name for it is "long non-coding RNA (CANN_LNC000324)". Lineage: Eukaryota; Viridiplantae; Streptophyta; Magnoliopsida; Solanales; Solanaceae. The record is from RNAcentral.
UUCACCCGUCUCCUCCUCAAUCUUCUUGCAUAUUUCCAACUAUUUUCAUAGUUCCUAAAUUGGCGGACCAAACACGUCAUACCCAAAGCAUAGGAAAUUUAACAAACUCAACAAGCUCAUGACCUGGAAAAAAUAGCAGGUUCGAAUCCUAUUUCUGCCUAGUGCCUUAGUUCAGUCUCAAAAAGGGGAUAAUAGAAGCCUAGCACUGAAUAUGCCUAGUGCCUUGGUUCAGUCUCAAUUAUAUUAUCAGAGAUGGGAUAAUGGGAUAAUUAGUGGCUAUCGAAUAAUUAAACCGAAAAACGAAAAUGAACACUGAUAAAUAGGCUAGCAUUUUAUCUGCAAACUAAAGAGAACUGACUGCAAUAAGAAUUUUACAUUUCAACUGGUACAAUUUGUGUUCCAAAAGAGUAUCUUCUUAUCACACAUACUUUGCUUGAAUUCAAAUUGUGAGAUGUCCAAGGAGGGAACUUUGAAGUGGAGGAACACCGAUGGAGGUAGAUUAUCAUUACCCUGUUACUUCUCGUUUGAUCUUCAAAUCACUUGAUUUAAAGAGCACAUGAUCGACCCCGCUUGACAAUUCAAACCAGUGUGAAGGCAAAUAGAACAGCUACUAAACAGAAAGAAGCUAGCCGGCUAGGUAAAAACAAAAUCCAAUAUCCAGAAGGUGACUAAAGCGUUUAAAGAAGUUGCCAGCCUAACUAGAACUUAAGCAGUCUUCUGAAAAUGCUGAGUUAAUAGCCUCGCAAUCUCUAGAAAACCAACCUUGUCCUUGCCAUCAAAUAUCGUCUUCAACUUGUUGUCACAAUGGAUCUCUCUUUUGUUUGCAGGAUUCUGCAAAUCACAAAGUUACAAGCAUUGUGUCAGGACUUGACCAGAGAGAGGAGCUAGCCC